RNAcentral lists this ribosomal RNA (468 nucleotides) under uncultured bacterium. RNAcentral describes it as "partial 16S ribosomal RNA". It matches the Rfam family "Bacterial small subunit ribosomal RNA", at positions 28 to 507 of the family's 1533-position model. The record is from RNAcentral.
GACGAACGCUGGCGGCGUGCUUAACACAUGCAAGUCGAACGGAAAGGCCCUGCUCUUGCGGGGUGCUCGUGUGGCGAACGGGUGAGUAACACGUGAGUAACCUGCACUUGACUUUGGGAUAACUUCAGGAAACUGGGGCUAAUACCGGAUAGGAGCUACUGCUGCAUGGUGGGGGUUGGAAAGUUUCGGCGGUUGGGGAUAGACUCGCGGCUUAUCAGCUAGUUGGUGGGGUAGUGGCUUACCAAGGGUUUGAAGGGUAGGCGGCCUGAGAGGGUGACCGGCGACAAGGGGACUGAGAUACGGCGCAGACUCCUACGGGAGGCAGCAGUGGAGAGUAUUGCACAGUGGGCGGAAGCCAGAUACAGCGGCGCCGCGUGCGGAAUAACGUCCUUCGGGUUAUAAACCGCUUUCGCCGGUGACGAAGCGGGAUUGACGGUAAUGGAUAAAAAAGCACCGGCUAACUACGUG